Molecule: ribosomal RNA, 255 nt
Filed under: uncultured bacterium
Lineage: Bacteria
Description: partial 16S ribosomal RNA
Rfam family: Bacterial small subunit ribosomal RNA
Source: RNAcentral
UACGUAGGGUGCAAGCGUUAAUCGGAAUUACUGGGCGUAAAGCGUGCGCAGGCGGUUUGGUAAGACAGAUGUGAAAUCCCCCGGGCUCAACCUGGGAAUUGCAUUUGUGACUGCCCGACUAGAGUGUGUCAGAGGGGGGUAGAAUUCCACGUGUAGCAGUGAAAUGCGUAGAGAUGUGGAGGAAUACCGAUGGCGAAGGCAGCCCCCCUGGGAUAACACUGACGCUCAUGCACGAAAGCGUGGGGAGCAAACAGG